Eutrema salsugineum is the source of this 832-nucleotide long non-coding RNA. RefSeq lists it as uncharacterized. The transcript has 3 exons. The record is from RefSeq and is a predicted model, not a curated record. Lineage: Eukaryota; Viridiplantae; Streptophyta; Magnoliopsida; Brassicales; Brassicaceae.
GCCUCGGUUAGGCGCAGCCACAUCUAAACCUAAUUUACUAAAGAGAAUCCUCCGUCGAAACCAUGUCUUCCUUGAACAGCAAAUUCUCCGCGGCUGACACAGGCGUCUUCUGGGACCUACUGGUCUCGGUCCUGAUUCGAUCUCUGCUAAUAUCAAAUUAGCUCUCGAGAAUGUUGGUUAUACUGGCAAAGUGUCGAUCUUUGCUUAUUCUGUUGCGGAGCAGAGCGAAGAAGUAAAGUUUGGAUCCGCCGAAAUCAAGCUUAAACAAAAGCUAGGGACUAGAAAAACAAAACUUAUGGAGAUAUAUCGGAACCUUUUUAUGUGGGGACUAGAACAUCGUUAUGAACCAACAAAUAUGAUGAUAAUCUCAGAAGACCUCUUACGAGACGUUGGCUACGUUUCGGGGCUUGUCCUUUUAAACGAAAAAGAAAACAAUCUUCUCUUAGCGCACCCUCAAAAAAAAUCAAGAGUGCUGCGUGAUACUGCAACUUCAAUAUGGCUUUGGAAAAGCCUAUCAACUGGAGGGAGCCCUCUCGAUGGCCACAGCAUGAGAUCAGAAUCUCCUCAGUUGUGCCGUCUACACAUUGUUCUGCUUGCAGCAGAAGGGCUCUUCGUCUUACCAAUAAGCGAAAGAAACGUACGACCAAAGGUUUUCGAUUUUUGUUUCGCUUUAUAUAAUGUGUUCCUAGUUAUUCCUCUGUUGAUGUGAAAUCUCUUUGGUCGCUUCCAUACCAUUCGUUUGCUAAGAGUUGUUUUCUGUUUAUUUUGUUUGGUGUGAAUCUACAUUCUCUAUAACUUCGAUUAUGAAAUUGUCUGUAUAAUUGCGUGAUUA